RNAcentral lists this long non-coding RNA (445 nucleotides) under Medicago truncatula (barrel medic). RNAcentral's name for it is "long non-coding RNA (MTRU_LNC003976)". Lineage: Eukaryota; Viridiplantae; Streptophyta; Magnoliopsida; Fabales; Fabaceae. The record is from RNAcentral.
UAUGUUUGUCUCCUCAUUUCCCAACCACAGCUUAAACAAACAUACAAACAUAAACUUUACCUCAAUUCAUCAUCUUCUUCUUCUUGCAGCUGAUCUUGUAGUAAAGGAACAAACAAACAAUAGUUACAAGGAAGUGUGUUCAAAGGAAUGUGAUCCAAAAUCAGAGAGAAAAAUAUCGACUUUUUUGUUUUCUUUAUUUUUAUUUUAUUUUCUUGUUCACUAAUUUUGUAUUUUAAAAAAAUAAAAAGUCCUUAUUCAGUUUCUGUUUUUGGAUUGUUUGGUGAGUUCAACAGACAUCUCAAAAUUGCAAUUAUCAUUUGCUUUAUGUAGGUUGGUAUUCUUCUUCUCCUUAUGUCUUUUUCUCUUCUCAAUAUUUAGAAAUAUAUAUUGUUAUACUCCAUAUUGUUAUUAUUAGUAGAAAAAUCUAUGUAUUAUUCUAUUUUUU